AACGAACGCUGGCGGCAUGCCUAACACAUGCAAGUCGAACGAGACCUUCGGGUCUAGUGGCGCACGGGUGCGUAACGCGUGGGAACCUGCCCUUAGGUUCGGAAUAACUCCCCGAAAGGGGUGCUAAUACCGGAUAAUGUCUUCGGACCAAAGAUUUAUCGCCCUUGGAUGGGCCCGCGUUGGAUUAGCUAGUUGGUAGGGUAAUAGCCUACCAAGGCGACGAUCCAUAGCUGGUCUGAGAGGAUGGUCAGCCACACUGGGACUGAGACACGGCCCAGACUCCUACGGGAGGCAGCAGUGGGGAAUAGUGGACAAUGGGCGAAAGCCUGAACCAGCAAUGCCGCGUGAGUUAUGAAGGCCUUAGGGUUGUAAAGCUCUUUUAACCGGGAUGAUAAUGACAGUACCGGGAGAAUAAGCCCCGGCUAACUCCGUG
This 433-nucleotide ribosomal RNA is filed under the name uncultured bacterium. RNAcentral's name for it is "partial 16S ribosomal RNA". It matches the Rfam family "Bacterial small subunit ribosomal RNA", at positions 29 to 507 of the family's 1533-position model. The record is from RNAcentral.